Molecule: non-coding RNA, 138 nt
Organism: Ornithorhynchus anatinus (platypus)
Lineage: Eukaryota; Metazoa; Chordata; Mammalia; Monotremata; Ornithorhynchidae
Source: Rfam
CCCCUCUCAGGGUCACACCUGGAGACUUUCCAGUACUCUACCAGUCUCGGCUACCGGAGGGAGAGUCAGGCAGAGGUCUACCCAUUUCAUUCCUAGCUUGGGCAGUGGCUACCGAGUGGAAGGCCAUCUGCUACAAGU